GACGAACGCUGGCGGCGUGCUUAACACAUGCAAGUCGAACGGUGAAGCGCCUUCCUUUUUGGUGGGUGUGGAUGAGUGGCGAACGGGUGAGUAACACGUGAGUAACCUGCCCCCUUCUUCUGGAUAACCGCAUGAAAGUGUGGCUAAUACGGGAUAUUCUGGGUCUGUCGCAUGAUGGGUCUGGGAAAGAUAUUGUUUCGGUGGGGGAUGGGCUCGCGGCCUAUCAGCUUGUUGGUGGGGUGAUGGCCUACCAAGGCGGUGACGGGUAGCCGGCCUGAGAGGGUGGACGGUCACACUGGGACGGAGACACGGCCGAGACUCCGACGGGAGGCAGCAGUGGGGAAUAUUGCACAAUGGGCGCAAGCCUGAUGCAGCGACGCCGCGUGAGGGAUGGAGGCCUUCGGGUUGUGAACCUCUUUCGCCAGUGAAGCAGGCCUGCCUCGUUUGUGGGUGGGUUGACGGUAGCUGGAUAAGAAGCGCCGGCUAACUACGUG
This 494-nucleotide ribosomal RNA is filed under the name uncultured bacterium. RNAcentral's name for it is "partial 16S ribosomal RNA". It matches the Rfam family "Bacterial small subunit ribosomal RNA", at positions 28 to 507 of the family's 1533-position model. The record is from RNAcentral.